Cavia porcellus (domestic guinea pig) is the source of this 591-nucleotide long non-coding RNA. RefSeq lists it as uncharacterized. The record is from RefSeq and is a predicted model, not a curated record. The transcript has 3 exons. NCBI's taxonomy places the organism in Eukaryota, Metazoa, Chordata, Mammalia, Rodentia, Caviidae.
CAGCUGGCCAAUCAGGACGCAGGUAGCUCUAAAGGUCAAGGUAACAAACCUCUCCCAGGACCAUUCACAGACCUCGUCUUACCCUCCCCACAAAACCUGGCAGCCAGCGCUUAAUGUGAUUUCCCUGCUGUCUUCCGACGACUGGAGCAUACAAAGCUGAUAGUGGAUGUCUUGGAGUUGAAGCAAAGCAGACCUGAAUGAGUCCCGACUCCAACUUCAUUGUCUGUGUAACUUGGGCACACAGAAAAUACGGGCAAUGAGGGUUGCUGUGAAGAUCAAAUGUGAUCAUGUGUCUGAAGAGCUCGGCUCGCAGGUGCUUGGGGAGCUCCAGUCAAACUGGUUUUCACAUUCAGAAGCUGGAAUGGUGUUUAGCAAAGCCAUUGAAGAAGCAAGAAGAGAAGAAGGGAUGGGAGAACCCCAGGCCCACCUCCUUCUGGCUAUGUGUGGAUACAUGAGAUGAGCAGCUUUGCCCUAUCAGAUGCCACUCACAUGAGGCUCUGCCUUGCCCCAGCCCUAAAAACAACAAGGCAAGUGGCCAUGGACUGAAACCUCUGAAACUACAAGCCACAUUAAACCUAUCUUCCUUUUAAA